CCUACGGGUGGCAGCAGUGGGGAAUUUUGGACAAUGGGGGCAACCCUGAUCCAGCAAUGCCGCGUGCAGGAAGAAGGCCUUCGGGUUGUAAACUGCUUUUGUACGGAACGAAAAGGCUCUGGUUAAUACCUGGGGCACAUGACGGUACCGUAAGAAUAAGCACCGGCUAACUACGUGCCAGCAGCCGCGGUAAUACGUAGGGUGCAAGCGUUAAUCGGAAUUACUGGGCGUAAAGCGUGCGCAGGCGGUGCUGUAAGACAGGCGUGAAAUCCCCGGGCUUAACCUGGGAAUGGCGCUUGUGACUGCAGUGCUGGAGUGUGGCAGAGGGGGAUGGAAUUCCGCGUGUAGCAGUGAAAUGCGUAGAUAUGCGGAGGAACACCGAUGGCGAAGGCAAUCCCCUGGGCCUGCACUGACGCUCAUGCACGAAAGCGUGGGGAGCAAACAGGAUUAGAUACCCUGGUAGUC
Molecule: ribosomal RNA, 465 nt
Filed under: uncultured Comamonadaceae bacterium
Lineage: Bacteria; Pseudomonadati; Pseudomonadota; Betaproteobacteria; Burkholderiales; Comamonadaceae
Description: bacterial SSU rRNA
Rfam family: Bacterial small subunit ribosomal RNA
Source: RNAcentral